CCUACGGGGGGCUGCAGUGGGGAAUAUUGGACAAUGGGCGAAAGCCUGAUCCAGCCAUGCCGCGUGUGUGAAGAAGGCCUUCGGGUUGUAAAGCACUUUCAGUGGGGAAGAAAGCCUUGGGGCUAAUACCCUCGAGGAAGGACAUCACCCACAGAAGAAGCACCGGCUAACUCCGUGCCAGCAGCCGCGGUAAUACGGAGGGUGCGAGCGUUAAUCGGAAUUACUGGGCGUAAAGCGCGCGUAGGCGGUCUGAUAAGCCGGUUGUGAAAGCCCCGGGCUCAACCUGGGAACGGCAUCCGGAACUGUCAGGCUAGAGUGCAGGAGAGGAAGGUAGAAUUCCCGGUGUAGCGGGGAAAUGCGUAGAGAUCGGGAGGAAUACCAGUGGCGAAGGCGGCCUUCUGGACUGACACUGACGCUGAGGUGCGAAAGCGUGGGUAGCAAACAGGAUUAGAUACCCGAGUAGUC
RNAcentral lists this ribosomal RNA (465 nucleotides) under Vreelandella stevensii. RNAcentral's name for it is "partial 16S ribosomal RNA". It matches the Rfam family "Bacterial small subunit ribosomal RNA", at positions 338 to 795 of the family's 1533-position model. Lineage: Bacteria; Pseudomonadati; Pseudomonadota; Gammaproteobacteria; Oceanospirillales; Halomonadaceae. The record is from RNAcentral.